CCUGCCGCCCCUCCACUUUAACCACUAGGCUACCCUGCCGCCCCUCCACUCUAACCACUAGGCUACCCUGCCGCCCCUCCACUCUAACCACUAGGCUACCCUGCCGCCCCUCCACUCUAACCACUAGGCUACCCUGCCGCCCUCCACUCUAACCACUAGGCUACCCUGCCGCCCCUCCACUCUAACCACUAGGCUACCCUGCCGCCUCCACACUCUAACCACUAGGCUACCCUGCAGCCCCUCCACUCUAACCACUAGGCUACCCUGCCGCCCCUCCACUCUAACCACUAGGCUACCCUGCCGCCCCUCCACUCUAACCACUAGGCUACCCUGCCGCCUCUACAAUCUAACCACUAGGCUACCCUGCCGCCCCUCCACUCUAACCACUAGGCUACCCUGCCGCCCCUCCACUCUAACCACUAGGCUACCCUUCCGCCCCUCCACUCUAACCACUAGGCUACCCUGCCGCCCCUCCACUCUAACCACUAGGCUACCCUGCCACCUCUACACUCUAACCACUAGGCUACCCUGCCGCCCCUCCACUUUAACCACUAGGCUACCCUGCCGCCCCUCCACUCUAACCACUAGGCUACCCUGCCGCCCCUCCACCCUAACCACUAGGCUACCCUGCCGCCCCUCCACUCUAACCACUAGGCUACCCUGCCGCCCCUCCACUCUAACCACUAGGCUACCCUGCCGCCCCUCCACUCUAACCACUAGGCUACCCUGC
Molecule: long non-coding RNA, 730 nt
Organism: Oncorhynchus tshawytscha (Chinook salmon)
Lineage: Eukaryota; Metazoa; Chordata; Actinopteri; Salmoniformes; Salmonidae
Source: Ensembl